AUUGAACGCUGGCGGCAUGCCUUACACAUGCAAGUCGAACGGCAGCACGGGAGCAAUCCUAGUGGCGAGUGGCGAACGGGUGAGUAAUACAUCGGAACGUGCCCAAUCGUGGGGGAUAACGCAGCGAAAGCUGUGCUAAUACCGCAUGAGAUCUACGGAUGAAAGCAGGGGACCGCAAGGCCUUGCGCGAAUGGAGCGGC
This 200-nucleotide ribosomal RNA is filed under the name uncultured bacterium. Its description in RNAcentral is "partial 16S ribosomal RNA". It matches the Rfam family "Bacterial small subunit ribosomal RNA", at positions 30 to 230 of the family's 1533-position model. The record is from RNAcentral.